UAAGAAUGGCACUCCCUUCAUGAGGUAAGGA
This 31-nucleotide non-coding RNA is filed under the name Rattus norvegicus (Norway rat). The record is from RNAcentral. Lineage: Eukaryota; Metazoa; Chordata; Mammalia; Rodentia; Muridae.